GAUGAACGCUGGCGGUGCGCCUAAUGCAUGCAAGUCGAGCGACGCAUACCGGAGGGGUAACCCACUGGUAUGACGGAGCGGCGAACGGGUGAGUAACACGUGAGCAACCUGCCCCACAGAUCGGGAUAGCCCAGGGAAACCUGGAUUAAUACCGAAUACCCUCGGGAGAUCACAUGAUCUAUCGAGGAAAAGCCUUUGUGCUGUGGGAUGGGCUCGCGACUUAUCAGCUAGUUGGUGGGGUAACGGCCUACCAAGGCAACGACGAGUAGCUGGUCUGAGAGGACGAUCAGCCACACUGGGAACUGAGACACGGGUCCAGACUCCUACGGGAGGCAGCAGCAGGGAAUCUUGCGCAAUGGGCGAAAGCCUGACGCAGCGACACCGCGUGGGGGAUGAAGGCCUUCGGG
RNAcentral lists this ribosomal RNA (407 nucleotides) under uncultured bacterium. RNAcentral's name for it is "bacterial SSU rRNA". It matches the Rfam family "Bacterial small subunit ribosomal RNA", at positions 28 to 422 of the family's 1533-position model. The record is from RNAcentral.